GCCCUGGUAGCUCAAUUGGCUAGAGCGUCGGACUUUUAUAUAUAAUAAAAAGUGUAUCCGAAGGCUGCGGGUUCGACCCCCGCCUGGGGCG
This is a non-coding RNA of Nemania sp. FL0031, 91 nucleotides long. The record is from the annotation of a GenBank genome assembly. Lineage: Eukaryota; Fungi; Ascomycota; Sordariomycetes; Xylariales; Xylariaceae.